AAGCUCGUAGUUGAAUUUCGGGAUUAGUACGUCGGUCGUGCCUUAGGUACGUACUGGUGUUACUGGUUCCUACCUUCUGACGAACCAUCAUGUCAUUAAUUUGAUGUGGUGGGGAAUCAGGACCGUUACUUUGAAAAAAUUAGAGUGUUUAAAGCAGGCUCGCGCUUGAAUACAUUAGCAUGGAAUAAUGAAAUAGGACGUUGAUCCUAUUUUGUUGGUUUCUAGGAUUGACGUAAUGAUUAAUAGGGAUAGUUGGG
RNAcentral lists this ribosomal RNA (257 nucleotides) under uncultured Glomus. RNAcentral's name for it is "partial 18S ribosomal RNA". It matches the Rfam family "Eukaryotic small subunit ribosomal RNA", at positions 624 to 886 of the family's 1831-position model. Lineage: Eukaryota; Fungi; Glomeromycota; Glomeromycetes; Glomerales; Glomeraceae. The record is from RNAcentral.